UCAAUCAAGCUGGUAACAAUCAGAGGCUCCUCUUGCCUAGGCUCUAAGCCAGGAACUUGCAGGACACGUCAUGCUUUGGACUUGGCCCCCCUCUAUGUUCCUUGGAACAGGACGUCACAGAGGGUGAGAAUCCCGUGCGAUGGGGAGACCAAUUCUAUGUAAAGUUCCUUCGAAGAGUCGAGUUGUUUGGGAAUGCAGCUCUAAGUGGGUGGUAAAUUCCAUCUAAAGCUAAAUAUUGGCGAGAGACCGAUAGCGAACAAGUACAGUGAUGGAAAGAUGAAAAGAACUUUGAAAAGAGAGUGAAAAAGUACGUGAAAUUGUUGAAAGGGAAGGGCUUUUGAUCAGACUUGGUGUUUAGUACUCUCUACUCCUUGUGGGUGGGGCUCUUGCUUUAUACUGGGCCAGCAUCGGUUUGGAUGGUAGGAUAAUAGCAUUGGAAUGUGGCUUCAUUCGUGAAGUGUUAUAGCCCUUGUUGAUACUACCUAUCUAGACCGAGGACUGCGUCUUUUGACUAGGAUGCUGGCGUAAUGAUUAAAAAGC
Molecule: ribosomal RNA, 540 nt
Filed under: Nakazawaea ernobii
Lineage: Eukaryota; Fungi; Ascomycota; Pichiomycetes; Alaninales; Pachysolenaceae
Description: eukaryotic LSU rRNA
Rfam family: Eukaryotic large subunit ribosomal RNA
Source: RNAcentral